This 302-nucleotide unclassified non-coding RNA is filed under the name plant metagenome. RNAcentral describes it as "partial contains small subunit ribosomal RNA, internal transcribed spacer 1, and 5.8S ribosomal RNA". The stretch from base 254 to 302 matches the Rfam family "5.8S ribosomal RNA", at positions 1 to 49 of the family's 154-position model. The record is from RNAcentral.
UUUCCGUAGGUGAACCUGCGGAAGGAUCAUUACAGAAAGUGCAUAUGUCCUCCUAAUCCGAGGCUUGCACGAUUAAACCCAUGCAUGGGGCGCGUCUGGCUACCACCAAACGGCUGCUCCAUGUUGACCGGUGUAUUGAAAAUUGUAUGCUUGGCGGGAGUUUUAUGGGAUGUGUCACAGUGUUCCAUGCCCGCCAAAGUUUUUAACCACAAUGAAAUAUUUUUAACAUAUUCAAAAAUAACAGUUUUAUUACAACUGUUGGCAACGGAUCACUCGGCUCUCGAAUCGAUGAAGAACGCAGC